Anguilla rostrata (American eel) is the source of this 560-nucleotide long non-coding RNA. RefSeq lists it as uncharacterized. The record is from RefSeq and is a predicted model, not a curated record. Lineage: Eukaryota; Metazoa; Chordata; Actinopteri; Anguilliformes; Anguillidae. The transcript has 2 exons.
GAGCUAUAAUGAAAAGAAAAGCCAGGUUUCACAGAUCAACAAACCACCACUUUCUCCUGAGCUGAGCACUUGUCCGAGGUCAACCUUGUAUACAAGCUUGUGUUUCACAUCGACAAAAAUCUAAAAUUCCAAUCUAAACGUAGGAUAUGGAUACUAAGUGCUUAGUAUUAAAGUAAAUAUUACUUAGUACUCCCCCACAUGAACUCAGAAUUAUAGUGGUUCAUCUACAAAAAGUAUAGUUUUUAUAUAUCAAGCUAGAAUUUUAAAGUAAUAAUAUAGUGUUUUUUGUCUACUGUAUGUUAGUUUUAACAUGUUUUUAAAAAGUAAUUCCAAGUUAAUCUACUGUGCAGCGACAAAGAGCAUUUUCAUGCUAAUCAUUUGUACCAUACAGAUGGCGGGUAUGGCAGGUACCAUUGUACUUGGUCAGGCCCCAGCCAGAGGUGACACACAUCAUCCCUCCAGGGAAGUUGUCGCCAGUCCUAGCCACACACACAGGAGACACACGGGGGCCCAGCUGAGCAGGGCUCUGCAGCUUGAUCAGGGUGAUAUCGUUGUUGAUG